AGACGAACCGGUCAAACGUUAUUCGGAAUCAUUGGGCUUAAAGGGUGCGUAGGCGGUGCGGAAAGUUGGGUGUGAAAUCCCUCGGCUCAACCGAGGAACUGCGCCCAAAACUUCCGUGCUAGAGGGAGACAGGGGUGAGCGGAACUGAUGGUGGAGCGGUGAAAUGCGUUGAUAUCAUCAGGAACACCGGUGGCGAAGGCGGCUCACUGGGUCUCUUCUGACGCUGAGGCACGAAAGCUAGGGUAGCGAACAGGAUUAGAAACCCUGGUAGUCC
Molecule: ribosomal RNA, 274 nt
Filed under: uncultured bacterium
Lineage: Bacteria
Description: partial 16S ribosomal RNA
Rfam family: Bacterial small subunit ribosomal RNA
Source: RNAcentral